CCUACGGGUGGCUGCAGUAAGGAAUAUUGGGCAAUGGAGGCAACUCUGACCCAGCCAUCCCGCGUGAAGGAUUAAGGCCCUAUGGGUUGUAAACUUCUUUUGUUUGGGAAGAAAUCAGGACAUUUAUGUGCUGUUGACGGUACCUUACGAAUAAGCACCGGCUAACUCCGUGCCAGCAGCCGCGGUAAUACGGAGGGUGCAAGCGUUAUCCGGAAUCACUGGGUUUAAAGGGUGCGUAGGCGGUUCGAUAAGUCAGAGGUGAAAGCUAGCAGCUU
Molecule: ribosomal RNA, 275 nt
Filed under: uncultured Haliscomenobacter sp.
Lineage: Bacteria; Pseudomonadati; Bacteroidota; Saprospiria; Saprospirales; Haliscomenobacteraceae
Description: partial 16S ribosomal RNA
Rfam family: Bacterial small subunit ribosomal RNA
Source: RNAcentral